AGCAGUCGCCGCGGUAAUACGUAGGGUGCAAGCGUUGUCCGGAAUCAUUGGGCGUAAAGCGCGCGUAGGUGGCCAUUUAAGUCCGCUGUGAAAGUCAAAGGCUCAACCUUUGAAAGCCGGUGGAUACUGGAUGGCCAGAGUACGGAAGAGGCGAGUGGAAUUCCUGGUGUAGCGGUGGAAUGCGCAGAUAUCAGGAGGAACACCAAUAACGAAGGCAGCUCGCUGGGACGUUACUGACACUGAGGCGCGAAAGCGUGGGGAGCGAACAGGAUUAGAUACCCCGGUAGUCCCUGUCUCUUAUAC
RNAcentral lists this ribosomal RNA (303 nucleotides) under uncultured bacterium. RNAcentral describes it as "partial 16S ribosomal RNA". It matches the Rfam family "Bacterial small subunit ribosomal RNA", at positions 507 to 807 of the family's 1533-position model. The record is from RNAcentral.